This 318-nucleotide long non-coding RNA is filed under the name Homo sapiens (human). RNAcentral's name for it is "HSALNT0377998". The record is from RNAcentral. Lineage: Eukaryota; Metazoa; Chordata; Mammalia; Primates; Hominidae.
ACUCCCAAGCGCCUUUGACACCUUGAUGACACCUGGGGCACUGAGACACUAGAGAGGAAAAUUUCGAGGAAAGAUUUCAACUUGGCUAUUAGACAGUGUGGACCUUAGAGAAGAAGUUUUAGGGGUCACCUGAUGAAUGUGUGCCGGGCAGACAUCCGGUUCAUGUCCCAUAGCAGGGUAUUUGGGCUGGAGUAAUUGUCUGGCUAACUGAAUGUACAUGGUAUUAUUAUUAUUAUUAUUAUUAUUAUUAUUAUUAUUAUUUUAGCAAACAUUGAAUGUGUUCUAAGCUAUAUUCAAAAUAAAUUUGAAUUUGGUAUU